RNAcentral lists this ribosomal RNA (253 nucleotides) under uncultured bacterium. Its description in RNAcentral is "partial 16S ribosomal RNA". It matches the Rfam family "Bacterial small subunit ribosomal RNA", at positions 524 to 776 of the family's 1533-position model. The record is from RNAcentral.
UACGGAGGGUGCUAGCGUUGUUCGGAAUGACUGGGCGUAAAGCGCGCGUAGGCGGAUCGGUAAGUUGGGAGUGAAAGCCCGAGGCUUAACCUCGGAAUUGCUUUCAAAACUGCCGUUCUGGAGUAUGGUAGGGGAUAGUGGAAUUCCUAGUGUAGAGGUGAAAUUCGUAGAUAUUAGGAGGAACGCCAGAGGCGAAAGCGACUAUCUGGGCCAUAACUGACGCUGAGGCGCGAAAGCGUGGGGAGCAAACAGG